UACGUAGGGUGCGAGCGUUAAUCGGAAUUACUGGGCGUAAAGUGUGCGCAGGCGGCAAAGCAAGUCGAGUGUGAAAGCCCCGGGCUUAACUUGGGAAUUGCGCUCGAAACUACUUUGCUGGAGUGUGGCAGAGGAAGGUGGAAUUCCACGUGUAGCGGUGAAAUGACGUGAGAGAUGUGGAGGAACACCAAUGGCGAAGGCAGCCUUCU
Molecule: ribosomal RNA, 209 nt
Filed under: uncultured bacterium
Lineage: Bacteria
Description: partial 16S ribosomal RNA
Rfam family: Bacterial small subunit ribosomal RNA
Source: RNAcentral